RNAcentral lists this transfer RNA (77 nucleotides) under Sediminibacterium sp. RNAcentral's name for it is "tRNA-Asn". It matches the Rfam family "tRNA". From Rfam's summary of the family: Transfer RNA (tRNA) molecules are approximately 80 nucleotides in length. The record is from RNAcentral. Lineage: Bacteria; Pseudomonadati; Bacteroidota; Chitinophagia; Chitinophagales; Chitinophagaceae. RNAcentral also lists the same sequence under 1 other name.
UCCUCAAUAGCUCAGUUGGUUAGAGCAUCUGACUGUUAAUCAGAGGGUCUCAGGUUCAAGUCCUGAUUGGGGAGCCA